Molecule: long non-coding RNA, 5278 nt
Organism: Dreissena polymorpha
Lineage: Eukaryota; Metazoa; Mollusca; Bivalvia; Myida; Dreissenidae
Exons: 4
Source: RefSeq, a predicted model, not a curated record
ACCCAUUUAUGUCUAGUGGAUUCUCCCAUCCUUCCAAAUUGGAUCAAUUUAUUUCUAAAAUUUGGGAUGUCUAGUAUAUUUAUUUCUAUAUUUAGAAUAUUUCUUACAAAAAUUCCUGUAAGCAAACGGGCGUAUACCCAGAUGAGACGCCGCAUGAUGCAAGGUCUUUUUUCUAGACGCUAGGCAUAAAUGGGUUAAAUUGUAGGAAUUGACUCUAACUUUUGUUGAGUGAGUUAAUGAUCAUGUGAGUUCAGUUUUAAGAAUGGAUUUAAUACUUAUCAUUUUGAAUUAUGUGUUUUAUCAAUCGUUGAUAUAUUUAAGGGAUAGAUCCAAACGAUGUUAACAAUCUUCACAUUUUUGUUUCAUUUAAGCUUAUUUUAUUUACAUAUGUAUGCAUGUAAAGCUCAUUCUAGUUUUUACCAAGCAUGUGUUGUUUUUUAACUCUUUCAGUGCUGGAACCGAAUUUUUAAGGCCUUUGCAAACAGUUUGGAUCCAGAUGAGACGUGGCGUCUCAUCAGGAUCCAAACUGUUUGCUAUUUUGAUAGUAUUCUUUAAAAAAAAUCGAAGAAAAUGCUAAUUUUAGAAAUUCAGGAGACUACAUUUUAGCAGACGACAAAUUUCCCAGCAUGCAAAGGGUGAGGUCAUAGUGUAAAUAUGCGUUAUUGUUCGUUCAAUAUAAGUUUUUUUUAAUACAUGCUGUUUGUUGUGAGUUAUUUUAAGACUAAAGUAAAUUUUUAGAAGAACAAUUUCAGGCUUUUUCUAGCUCUUUCCAAUAACUUUGUGCAAAAUGUUGAAUCUGAUUUAAUAAAUAAGCUGUUGUGUUCAUAUUUAUAUUGUUAUUCACCGAACGAAAACAACGAUUGGCAUCGUCUAUUUAUUGAUUUGUAUAAUUCGAGAAAGCCGUGGUCUUAAUUUGUAGGAAAUACGUACAUGAUGCUCAUAAUUAUAUACUUAGAAUAUUUUAUGAAUAUAUAUUUUUUUGGUGUCAAUAACUUUUUAUAAAAAGACCUUCUCAAAUGGUGAGAUCUAUGUUAUUGUCCCCUACCGGUUUCACCGGGGGGACUUAUGGUUUGCGCUCUGUAUGUCCGUCAGUCUGUCACACUUUUCUGGAUCCUGCGAUAACUUUAAAAGUUCUUAAUAUUUUUUCAUGAUACUUGAAGCUCGGAUAGAUGGCAAUAUGGACAUUAUGCACAUCAUUUUAUUUUGUUCCUACGUCAAAAAUUCUGGUUGCUACGGCAACAAAUAAUAAAUUUGUCUGACUUUGGUGGAGCCAAUAGGGGACAUAUAUUGCUUGGCAAUAGUCUUGUUCAUAACAUGUGUUAUGCACUGGAUUUGCAUUUCAGCGAGCUGCCAUGAUUUAUUACAGCACAUUUGUAUUUUUACAGUUAUAGCCCUCUCAUAGAACACAAUUUAUUCGGCCGAGGGUAUCAACUCAAUAGAUUUACUUGUUUAUAGUUUGUGUUAUGCCCGGUGACUGUGUAUGCAAUGAAGCAUUACUUUCUAAUGUGCGGUCUUGAUUUAUUCAAAGACCUAUAAAAUACAUAAUAAUUCAUUAAGUAAUUUCUUUAUCCGACAUCGGCGAAGGGGGAUCGGUUACCAUACACGCGCGGCCAUUUUAACAGCUACGCGCUUGAAGCUAACCACAUGACCCUGCCGCGAGAUGUUUAUGGGAUAGCGCGUGGUUUCCCAUCCUGGUAUUAUACGUCUUUUAUGUUUUUCAGCACAUGGGUCCUACCGCUAUGGCAGUGCGAGCGAGUUAUCGGCCUUGAGGCUCAACCUGAAGCAUAUCUGUCAGUAUUGCUCCAAGCCCAUGUCCUCCAACGCCGCGCUGGAGAGGCAUAUACGCAUCCAUACUGGGGAGAAACCGUUUGCCUGCACUGUCUGUGACCAUAAGGCUAACACCAAGGGGAACUUGAAGAUUCAUAUGCUCGUUCAUUCAAAAUUACGUUAACCCUUUGCAUGCUGGGAAAGUUGUCGUCUGCUAAAAUGUCAGCUGCUUAAUUUCUAAAAUUAGCAUUUUCUUCGAUUUUCAAAGAAUACUAUCAGAAUAGCAAACAGUUUGGAUCCUGAUGAGACGCCACGUUCUGUGGCGUCUCAUCUGGAUCCAAAUUGUUUGCAAAGGCCUUCAAAAUUCGGCUCCAGCACUGAAAGAGUUAAAUAGUUGUGGAGAAGUGAACAAACUUAAUAAUUUGUUUUCAGGUUUUACAUUUUCCUGUUCAGUGUUAUUCAUUAUUUACAAUAUGUUGUACAGUAGUUUUAAAUUGUUUCCUCAUGUUAUUCACUUGUUUGCGGAGCUGCCCAUAGAAUAGGUUAACCUUGUGUUGUAUGCACCUCAGCAUCUACAGAUGAUAUGAGGCAAAUAGCAAUUUGCCUAUCCGUUCAUUUGUUGGUUCAUUGCUUAAUUUUGUUGUUUUUUUGACGUGACACAUUUGGUUUGACAUCAAUAAGACUUCUUGUAAUGCCUUGGGACUUGAAUAGAUGUUGUCUUUGGACACUAAAUAUCAGUUUGACCUUGACAUUGACAUACUUUUGGAUUUUGACUGAACCAUAAGGUGCGAUGUUUUGGUGAACCCUUUUGACUGAACCAUAAGGUGCGAUGUUUUGGUGAACCCUUUUGACUGAACCAUAAGGUGCGAUGUUUUGGUGAACCCUAUUGACUGAACCAUAAGGUGCGAUGUUUUGGUGAACCCUUUUGACUGAACCAUCAAGUGCGAUGUUUUGGUGAACCCUUUUGACUGAACCAUAAGGUGCGAUGUUUUGGUGAACCCUUUUGACUGAACCAUAAGGUGCGAUGUUUUGGUGAACUAUAUUGACUGAACCAUAAGGUGCGAUGUUUUGGUGAACCCUUUUGACUGAACCAUAAGGUGCGAUGUUUUGGUGAACCCUUUUGACUGAACCAUUAGGUGCGAUGUUUUGGUGAACCCUUUUGACUGAACCAUAAGGUGCGAUGUUUUGGUGAACCCUAUUGACUGAACCAUAAGGUGCGAUGUUUUGGUGAACCCUUUUGACUGAACCAUAAGGUGCGAUGUUUUGGUGAACCCUUUUGACUGAACCAUAAGGUGCGAUGUUUUGGUGAACCCUAUUGACUGAACCAUAAGGUGCGAUGUUUUGGUGAACCCUUUUGACUGAACCAUAAGGUGCGAUGUUUUGGUGAACCCUUUUGACUGAACCAUAAGGUGCGAUGUUUUGGUGAACCCUAUUGACUGAACCAUAAGGUGCGAUGUUUUGGUGAACCCUUUUGACUGAACCAUCAAGUGCGAUGUUUUGGUGAACCCUUUUGACUGAACCAUAAGGUGCAAUGUUUUGGUGAACCCUUUUAACUGAACCAUAAGGUGCGAUGUUUUGGUGAACCCUUUUGACUGAACCAUAAGGUGCGAUGUUUUGGUGAACCCUUUUGACUGAACCAUAAGGUGCGAUGUUUUGGUGAACCCUAUUGACUGAACCAUAAGGUGCGAUGUUUUGGUGAACCCUUUUGACUGAACCAUAAGGUGCGAUGUUUUGGUGAACCCUUUUGACUGAACCAUAAGGUGCGAUGUUUUGGUGAACCCUAUUGACUGAACCAUAAGGUGCGAUGUUUUGGUGAACCCUUUUGACUGAACCAUCAAGUGCGAUGUUUUGGUGAACCCUUUUGACUGAACCAUAAGGUGCAAUGUUUUGGUGAACCCUUUUAACUGAACCAUAAGGUGCGAUGUUUUGGUGAACCCUUUUGACUGAACCAUAAGGUGCGAUGUUUUGGUGAACCCUUUUGACUGAACCAUAAGGUGCGAUGUUUUGGUGAACUAUAUUGACUGAACCAUAAGGUGCGAUGUUUUGGUGAACCCUUUUGACUGAACCAUAAGGUGCGAUGUUUUGGUGAACCCUUUUGACUGAACCAUAAGGUGCGAUGUUUUGGUGAACCCUUUUGACUGAACCAUAAGGUGCAAUGUUUUGGUGAACCCUUUUUACUGAACCAUAAGGUGCGAUGUUUUGGUGAACCCUUUUGACUGAACCAUAAGGUGCAAUGUUUUGGUGAACCCUAUUGACUGAACCAUAAGGUGCGAUGUUUUGGUGAACCCUUUUGACUGAACCAUAAGGUGCGAUGUUUUUGUAAACCCUUUUGACUGAACCAUAAGGUGCGAUGUUUUGGUGAACCCUUUGACUGAACCAUAAGGUGCAAUGUUUUGGUGAACCCUUUCUCCUUAGAAGCCAAGUGAAAAUGGGUAUGUGCAAACAGCAUAAAACCAGAACAGCCUGUGAGUUACUCACUGUCUGUUCAGGUUUUAUGCUGUUUGCUGUUCAUCAGUACCUAAGGGUUGGAAUAGAGGCCUUAAAAACUUGAAUACAGUAAGAAAGGUCUUUAAUUAAUGAUAACUUUCUAAGGGACUACACAUGCGUGAAAAUGCGUAUCUAAGAGGUAAAGGGGUAAAUCAUCACGACUUUUUUCGUGUCAAACUUCGAAGGUUCGAUACUUGAAAGGAUAAUAUAUGUGAACACUAUUAACACACACACACAUCACAUCACAUCACCUGACAAAUACUUGAAUAGAUGCGCAUGUUUGUCUGUGACCACUAUUAAAGGGUCCUUUUCACAGAUUUUGGCAUGUUUUGAAAUUUGUCAGUAAAUGUUUUCUAUUGAUAAAUGUAAACAUUUGCUAUAAAAAGCUCCAGUAAAAUAUCAAGAAUAAAACUUAAAAAAGAAGAAAAAAAGUAACCUUCAACAGGGCUUGACUUGAACCACUGAUCCCUGGAGUCCUGGAGUGACAAGUCUUAACACUUAAACCUCUCGACUAUUCUCCCGCAUUCAAAGAAAGUUGUAUUUUAUACUAAUAUAAACAACAGAAAUCUCCAAAUUAUUCAAUGGUUUCGCGUUGCAACACUUUGUAAUUUUCAGGUUUUUAAAUCUUCAAAAGAUGCAUUUAAUGGCUGUCUUAGAGCAUGGUAAAUGUUCAGUAUUACUGUUUCCUCCCAAAUAUCAUAACUAAAUCGAAAAUGUUUGAAUCUGAAACAACUUUUUUAAACUUUGUCAAUUUACCAAAACGUGAAAAGGCCCCUUUAACACACUCACAAUACCUUACCUGACAAAGCUUCUACUUGGGGCAUGUAAUGCUUUUAUUUUAUGCAGCAUCCUAUUUGAAAUAUGUUGGUUUCCAUAGACUUGAAAGUAUAAUUGUUUGGUUGUUAUCAUUAUGUAAUAUUUCUCGCAAUGUCAAUCAUUUUAUGUAAUGCACAUGUAUGUAAAUAAAUAACAAUUUGAGCAAUUUUAUGUUAUGCACAUGUAUGUAAAUAAAUAACAAUUUGAG